This 67-nucleotide microRNA precursor is filed under the name Bombyx mori (domestic silkworm). RNAcentral's name for it is "mir-2774 microRNA precursor family". It matches the Rfam family "mir-2774 microRNA precursor family". The record is from Rfam by way of RNAcentral. Lineage: Eukaryota; Metazoa; Arthropoda; Insecta; Lepidoptera; Bombycidae.
ACAACAUUCAGACCGUCGGUCUACCCAGUAAUUUUACCGGCUCGGUGGAAGAUCUUCCCAUAGUCGA